UCCUCUUGCCUCACGACAAGAGGCCCUGGA
This 30-nucleotide small RNA is filed under the name Bombyx mori (domestic silkworm). RNAcentral describes it as "ovarian small RNA-27891". The record is from RNAcentral. Lineage: Eukaryota; Metazoa; Arthropoda; Insecta; Lepidoptera; Bombycidae.